AGAGCGAACGCUGGCGGCAGGCCUAACACAUGCAAGUCGAGCGCCCCGCAAGGGGAGCGGCAGACGGGAGAGUAACACGUGGGAACGUGCCCUUUGGUUCGGAACAACACAGGGAAACUUGUGCUAAUACCGGAUAAGCCCUUACGGGGAAAGAUUUAUCGCCGAAAGGAUUGGCCCGCGUCUGAUUAGCUAGUUGGUGAGGUAACGGCUCACCAAGGCGACGAUCAGUAGCUGGUCUGAGAGGAUGAUCAGCCACAUUGGGACUGAGACACGGCCCAAACUCCUACGGGAGGCAGCAGUGGGGAAUAUGGACAAUGGGCGCAAGCCUGAUCCAGCCAUGCCGCGUGAGUGAUGAAGGCCCUAGGGUUGUAAAGCUCUUUUGUGCGGGAAGAUAAUGACGGUACCGCAAGAAUAAGCCCCGGCUAACUUCGUGCCAGCAGCCGC
RNAcentral lists this ribosomal RNA (444 nucleotides) under uncultured bacterium. RNAcentral's name for it is "SSU rRNA". It matches the Rfam family "Bacterial small subunit ribosomal RNA", at positions 26 to 518 of the family's 1533-position model. The record is from RNAcentral.